UACGUAGGGUGCAAGCGUUAAUCGGAAUUACUGGGCGUAAAGCGUACGCAGGCGGCUAUGUAAGACAGGUGUGAAAUCCCCGGGCCUAACCUGGGAACUGCAUUUGUGACUGCAUAGCUAGAGUCCGUCAGAGGGGGGUGGAAUUCCACGUGUAGCAGUGAAAUGCGUAGAGAUGUGGAGGAACACCGAUGGCGAAGGCAGCCCCCUGGGAUGAGACUGGCGCUCAUGUACGAAAGCGUGGGGAGCAAACAGG
RNAcentral lists this ribosomal RNA (253 nucleotides) under uncultured bacterium. RNAcentral describes it as "partial 16S ribosomal RNA". It matches the Rfam family "Bacterial small subunit ribosomal RNA", at positions 524 to 776 of the family's 1533-position model. The record is from RNAcentral.